GUGGGCGGGGAAGGAUGAAUGUUAGUUCGAUGGGUUUGAUAUUGGCUGAGUUUGCAAUAGCAGGUGGAACCUUAACUGUUGAGGGAGUUUGCAGAUACCUCAGGAUUCCUGACAAUGCCUUUAAAGAUCCAGGAGAGAUGUUCAGCUACUAGGAACUGCUAGCAAGUAUAGCGCGAAUGGCUCCGAGCUCAGACACUCUACAGCUGAGAGUAGACACUUGUGGUAUGUGGAGUACAGAUAAGCCAGGGGCAGGCCACGACAUGCUCCAUGAAAGCUAGGAGGGAGUGAAGUUUCAGUGACCAUCGCAAGGAAGGAGGCAGACAAGAGUAAGGCACACACCUGACUCUUAGGACUAGCAGUCAGAACCAGGAGGAAAGGUUUUAUUGCUAUGCUGGUAGGUAAGAACAGAUUUUACUUACAUCCAUAUAGUUAUCUAAAAUCCAGUUUUCUGUUAAAUGUUUCUUAAUGUAUUGAGCCAAAAAAAAACUAGUCCAGUUAAGCUGAACUUGGUUUUUCUGGAGUUGAAUUGUAAAUGAUGCCCUAGUUUUGGUGGCUCCCAAUUGAAGGAAGUGAGCACUGUAAUUAAAUUACUUAAUCCUGUGAUAUAUAUUUUUGCCCUUUAAUUUUGAUUAAUUUUUAUCUUUGCACCCAUUUUCUUAAAAUAACGGCUCAAAGUAAUGCAUUACAAUCUUUUCCCCAAAAUGAUUGUGGGGGGGGCAGGGGGGCUAUUAAUGGGUGGUGGGUGGCUUAGCUUGAGAUGGGAUUUGGUCCAGAAGAAAAGCUCAUUCUAAAGAUUGUUUACUUUUCUAGGGAAGAAUCUGCUACUACAGACUUUUCUGCUCUCUAAAAAAAAAAAAAUCUAAUCUGUCCAAGCUAAAAGGAACAUCCUUAUGAGUAUGAGGACAACCUUUAUCUGAGCCACUGUGCCUUUCAUUUCUCAACUGCCAUGCAGUUCACAUUAGCUGCUGUGCGGUUAAAAUCAUUCAAUUUUGUGAAUGGAUUUUUUAAUAAAUUGUGUUUAGUUUUGUUCCAUC
This is a long non-coding RNA of Trichechus manatus latirostris (Florida manatee), 1034 nucleotides long. RefSeq lists it as uncharacterized. The transcript has 2 exons. NCBI's taxonomy places the organism in Eukaryota, Metazoa, Chordata, Mammalia, Sirenia, Trichechidae. The record is from RefSeq and is a predicted model, not a curated record.